GACGAAGGGGGCUAGCGUUGUUCGGAAUUACUGGGCGUAAAGCGCGUGUAGGCGGUUGCCCAAGUCGGGUGUGAAAGCCUUGAGCUCAACUCAAGAAAUGCAUUCAGGACUGGAUGGCUAGAGGACCGGAGAGGAUAGUGGAAUUCCCAGUGUAGUGGUGAAAUACGUAGAGAUUGGGAAGAACACCAGUGGCGAAGGCGGCUAUCUGGACGGUUUCUGACACUAAGACUCGAAAGCGUGGGGAGCAAACAGG
This 253-nucleotide ribosomal RNA is filed under the name uncultured bacterium. RNAcentral's name for it is "partial 16S ribosomal RNA". It matches the Rfam family "Bacterial small subunit ribosomal RNA", at positions 524 to 776 of the family's 1533-position model. The record is from RNAcentral.